AAAACUAAACAGACUCUUACUAUCUAGUAUUUACUGCCAGCUAACUCAAAGACAUGCAUCUCAGUCUAUGCAUCAUUCUUGUGCAAUUACUAGAUAUGCAUCUAAAUUGUUACAUGAUAAUUAAUGAGUUGACAAGCACACCUUAAAGCAUAAGGUAGUGGAAGACCACCUGAAAAUAAAUUUAAAUAUGCAAAUGGCUUGUGGCUCAUGGCCCAAAGACCUUGACAGCUUAAGAAAGGGAAAUUUUUGUUUGUUGCUGUUCUAUUGUUUAAGAAACUUACCUCCAACAAGA
Molecule: unclassified non-coding RNA, 292 nt
Filed under: Hevea brasiliensis (rubber tree)
Lineage: Eukaryota; Viridiplantae; Streptophyta; Magnoliopsida; Malpighiales; Euphorbiaceae
Source: RNAcentral